UACGUAGGUGGCAAGCGUUGUCCGGAUUUAUUGGGCGUAAAGCGCGCGCAGGCGGCUAUGUAAGUCUGAUGUUAAAGCCCGAGGCUCAACCUCGGUCCGCAUUGGAAACUGUGUAGCUUGAGUGCAGAAGAGGAAAGCGGUAUUCCACGUGUAGCGGUGAAAUGCGUAGAGAUGUGGAGGAACACCAGUGGCGAAGGCGGCUUUCUGGUCUGUAACUGACGCUGAGGCGCGAAAGCGUGGGGAGCGAACAGG
Molecule: ribosomal RNA, 252 nt
Filed under: uncultured bacterium
Lineage: Bacteria
Description: partial 16S ribosomal RNA
Rfam family: Bacterial small subunit ribosomal RNA
Source: RNAcentral